GGCCUCGACUAACACUCAUCACCCUGUGACAUACCUAAAACGUUGCUUCGGCGGGAACAGACGGCCCUGUAACAACGGGCCGCCCCCGCCAGAGGACCCCUAACUCUGUUUUUAUAAUGUUUUUCUGAGUAAACAAGCAAAUAAAUUAAAACUUUCAACAACGGAUCUCUUGGCUCUGGCAUCGAUGAAGAACGCAGCGAAAUGCGAUAAGUAAUGUGAAUUGCAGAAUUCAGUGAAUCAUCGAAUCUUUGAACGCACAUUGCGCCCGCCAGUAUUCUGGCGGGCAUGCCUGUUCGAGCGUCAUUACAACCCUCAGGCCCCCGGGCCUGGCGUUGGGGAUCGGCGGAAGCCCCCUGUGGGCACACGCCGUCCCUCAAAUACAGUGGCGGUCCCGCCGCAGCUUCCAUUGCGUAGUAGCUAACACCUCGCAACUGGAGAGCGGCGCGGCCAUGCCGUAAAACACCCAACUUCUGAAUGUUGACCUCGAAUCAGGUAGGAAUACCCGCUGAACUUAAGCAUA
This 520-nucleotide ribosomal RNA is filed under the name Fusarium solani. Its description in RNAcentral is "eukaryotic LSU rRNA". The stretch from base 150 to 303 matches the Rfam family "5.8S ribosomal RNA". The record is from RNAcentral. Lineage: Eukaryota; Fungi; Ascomycota; Sordariomycetes; Hypocreales; Nectriaceae.